AUAUCAAUAAGCGGAGGAAAAGAAACUAACAAGGAUUCCCCUAGUAACGGCGAGUGAAGCGGGAUGAGCUCAAAUUUGUAAUCUGGNGGCCUUUGGCCGUCCGAGUUGUAGUCUGGAGAAGCGUUUUCCGCGUCGGACCGUGUACAAGUCCCUUGGAACAGGGCGUCGUAGAGGGUGAGAAUCCCGUCUUUGACACGGACUGCCGAUGCUUUGUGAUGCGCUCUCGAAGAGUCGAGUUGUUUGGGAAUGCAGCUCAAAACGGGUGGUAAAUUCCAUCUAAAGCUAAAUACGGGCGAAAGACCGAUAGCGAACAAGUACCGUGAGGGAAAGAUGAAAAGCACUUUGGAAAGAGAGUUAAACAGUACGUGAAAUUGUUGAAAGGGAAACGCUUGAAGUCAGUCGCGUCUCCUGGGACUCAGCCUUGCUUCUGCUCGGUGUACUUCCUGGGGUUGACGGGCCAGCAUCGAUUUUGACCGUCGGAGAAAGGCCUUGGGAACGUGGCACCCUUUGGGUGUGUUAUAGCCCUCGGUCGUAUGCGACGGUUGGGAUCGAGGACCGCAGCACGCCUUUUUGGCCGGGGUUCGCCCACGUACGUGCUUAGGAUGCUGGCGUAAUGGCUUUAAGCGACCCGUCUUGAAACACGGACCAAGGAGUCUAACAUGCCUGCGAGUGUUUGGGUGGUAAACCCGGACGCGAAAUGAAAGUGAAAGGUUGGGACCUCUGUCGUGGAGGGCACCGACGCCCGGACCAGACCUUUUGUGACGGUUCCGAGGUAGAGCAUGCAUGCUGGGACCCGAAAGAUGGUGAACUAUGCUUGAGUAGGGUGAAGCCAGAGGAAACUCUGGUGGAGGCUCGUAGCGAUUCUGACGUGCAAAUCGAUCGUCGAACUUGAGUAUAGGGGCGAAAGACUAAUCGAACCAUCUAGUAGCUGGUUCCUGCC
Molecule: ribosomal RNA, 940 nt
Filed under: Gautieria morchelliformis
Lineage: Eukaryota; Fungi; Basidiomycota; Agaricomycetes; Gomphales; Gomphaceae
Description: partial large subunit ribosomal RNA
Rfam family: Eukaryotic large subunit ribosomal RNA
Source: RNAcentral